UCUAUGCGAGAUCAUCUUAAA
Molecule: non-coding RNA, 21 nt
Organism: Caenorhabditis elegans
Lineage: Eukaryota; Metazoa; Nematoda; Chromadorea; Rhabditida; Rhabditidae
Source: Ensembl